AAUAGAGAACCAAAUCUAGCCGACCAAGAGCCCCUCCUUCAGAGGAUCACCGGGCAGCUGGUCGAGAUAGCUCCAUAGGCUCUCUCAAUCUCUUAUAGCCACUUAAGGGACUAGGUGCUCUACAGAUGGCAUCAGUAGCGUCCCCUGAAAAUAGCAACCCCCUAGAACAGACCCGCAAUGACAUACCCAAGGAGCACAAACACAGCAAACAAGCCAUUUUUCAUCGAAGAUAAGGAGUGUUGGAAGGAAUGCAUGCAGCCUCUAGGUAAACAAUAAGCUAGAUGAAAUCAUCCAGCACCGCGCAGGAUCUCAGACCCUCUUUGUUGAACCACACCUGCAGAGAAAACACACCAAAAUCUCUUAUUUACAGACGCACCCAGAGGUUGGGAUGGAUAAUGCACCCUGCGGGCAAGAAGACGAAGCUGUCCCCUGCCUGAAAGGGGUAAGAAAGGCCAACUACAUCGUAGAGAUGAAUAGACUAGUGAAUCUAAAAGAAAUUUAAAAAAGAGAGAAAAAAACUCUCUAAAACUUUAUUAAUUAGGAUUUUCCCACCCAACCCACUCCUCGCUCAACUGCUCUCUCCUA
This 585-nucleotide unclassified non-coding RNA is filed under the name Hevea brasiliensis (rubber tree). Lineage: Eukaryota; Viridiplantae; Streptophyta; Magnoliopsida; Malpighiales; Euphorbiaceae. The record is from RNAcentral.